This 400-nucleotide ribosomal RNA is filed under the name Escherichia coli. RNAcentral's name for it is "bacterial SSU rRNA". It matches the Rfam family "Bacterial small subunit ribosomal RNA", at positions 1 to 397 of the family's 1533-position model. Lineage: Bacteria; Pseudomonadati; Pseudomonadota; Gammaproteobacteria; Enterobacterales; Enterobacteriaceae. The record is from RNAcentral. RNAcentral also lists the same sequence under 1 other name.
AAAUUGAAGAGUUUGAUCAUGGCUCAGAUUGAACGCUGGCGGCAGGCCUAACACAUGCAAGUCGAACGGUAACAGGAAGCAGCUUGCUGCUUCGCUGACGAGUGGCGGACGGGUGAGUAAUGUCUGGGAAACUGCCUGAUGGAGGGGGAUAACUACUGGAAACGGUAGCUAAUACCGCAUAACGUCGCAAGACCAAAGAGGGGGACCUUCGGGCCUCUUGCCAUCGGAUGUGCCCAGAUGGGAUUAGCUUGUUGGUGGGGUAACGGCUCACCAAGGCGACGAUCCCUAGCUGGUCUGAGAGGAUGACCAGCCACACUGGAACUGAGACACGGUCCAGACUCCUACGGGAGGCAGCAGUGGGGAAUAUUGCACAAUGGGCGCAAGCCUGAUGCAGCCAUGC